GCGAGUAUUCUACCGUUGAACCAUGGAUGCUGUGUUUGUUGCAAAUCAUCAAUGAUCAAA
RNAcentral lists this transfer RNA (60 nucleotides) under Diaphanoeca grandis. Lineage: Eukaryota; Choanoflagellata; Acanthoecida; Stephanoecidae. The record is from RNAcentral.